GAUGAACGCUAGCGGCAGGCCUAAUACAUGCAAGUCUAAAGGGCAGCAAUGUCCUUGGCGCACGGGUGCGUAACACGUAUGCAACCUGCCCUCAACUGGGGGAUAACCUUCCGAAAGGGAGGAUAAUACCGCAUGACACAGAGUCCCUGCAUGGGGGUUUUGUCAAAGCUACGGCGGUUGAGGAUGGGCAUGCGGACGAUUAGCUAGUUGGCGGGGUAACGGCCCACCAAGGCUACGAUCGUUAGGGGAACUGAGAGGUUGGUCCCCCACACUGGCACUGAGAUACGGGCCAGACUCCUACGGGAGGCAGCAGUAGGGAAUAUUGGUCAAUGGGCGGAGGCCUGAACCAGCCAAGUAGCGUGCAGGAUGACGGCCCUAUGGGUUGUAAACUGCUUUUAUACAGGAAUAAAGUUAGCCACGUGUGGUUAUUUGUAGGUACUGUAUGAAUAAGGACCGGCUAAUUCCGUGCCAGCAGCCGCCGUAA
RNAcentral lists this ribosomal RNA (484 nucleotides) under uncultured bacterium. RNAcentral describes it as "partial 16S ribosomal RNA". It matches the Rfam family "Bacterial small subunit ribosomal RNA", at positions 28 to 523 of the family's 1533-position model. The record is from RNAcentral.